Molecule: non-coding RNA, 21 nt
Filed under: Arabidopsis thaliana (thale cress)
Lineage: Eukaryota; Viridiplantae; Streptophyta; Magnoliopsida; Brassicales; Brassicaceae
Source: RNAcentral
UGGAUUGGUCCACUUAUUGGU